RNAcentral lists this ribosomal RNA (478 nucleotides) under uncultured bacterium. RNAcentral describes it as "partial 16S ribosomal RNA". It matches the Rfam family "Bacterial small subunit ribosomal RNA", at positions 28 to 523 of the family's 1533-position model. The record is from RNAcentral.
GACGAACGCUGGCGGCGUGCUUAACACAUGCAAGUCGAACGGUAAGGCCCUUCGGGGUACACGAGUGGCGAACGGGUGAGUAACACGUGGGUGAUCUGCCCUGCACUUUGGGAUAAGCCUGGGAAACUGGGUCUAAUACCGGAUAGGACCAUGGACUUCACGGCUUGUGGUGGAAAGCUUUUGCGGUGUGGGAUGGGCACGAGGCCUAUCAGCUUGUUGGUGGGGUAAUGGCCUACCAAGGCGACGACGGGUAGCCGGCCUGAGAGGGUAACGGGCCACGAUGGGACUGAGAUACGGCCCAGACUCCUACGGGAGGCAGCAGUGGGGAAUAUUGCACGAGUGGCGCAAGCCUGAUGCAGCGACGCCGCGUGAGGGAUGACGGCCUUCGGGUUGUAAACCUCUUUCAGCAUCGACGAAGCGAAAGUGACGGUAGGUGCAGAAGAAGGACCGGCCAACUACGUGCCAGCAGCCGCAGUAA